This is a long non-coding RNA of Myotis davidii, 385 nucleotides long. RefSeq lists it as uncharacterized. The transcript is spliced from 2 exons. NCBI's taxonomy places the organism in Eukaryota, Metazoa, Chordata, Mammalia, Chiroptera, Vespertilionidae. The record is from RefSeq and is a predicted model, not a curated record.
GAUCUACAGAAACACAAGAAAACUUCACAUGUAAAAAAUGAUAGGAGACAGCAGUUGAGGAAUACCAAUUAAUUGACAGACUAUUCCAAACAAGUUAUGAUUCUCUUGGCAAAACAGCUUCAUCAAGAGUCUCACCAGCCUCUCCCUUGGGAACAUAAAGACUCAGACAAGGGGGGGGGGGGGGGUUCGGGGAGACAAGGCUAGACACCUGCCCCCAAUGGGAAAACGAAGAACACACCUGGAAAGCAGCUCUGACAACGGGAGCCAAGGGGAGAACAGUAAGUGGAGAAGAGAGACUGCUUCCAAUCUGUUGCUGGUUUAUAAGGUAAAUCUAUUCCUGGAGUAAAAGGGAUACAGUAGCAGCACAAUAAAAACUGGGGCAAGG